ACGCUGUCGCCGCAGCUUCUUCCGGCUAGCUGGGGAACGCCGAGGCUGCGGAGCGCACGCCUGGGCUCCGUCAGAGGGCCGCGCCCGCGCGACGACCGCGUGCCAGCUAGUGGGAGGCGGGCGAGGACCCCUGGGGGUGUCCCUCCCUGACCCAGGCGGGAGGAGGGGACUCCUCAGGCUGUUUUGUAAAAUGUGUCGAUGUCACCCUUCCGGCUGUUGCUCCUGACUGUGGACAAGAUUAAGGAAAAAAAGAGGUCACAGAUAAAUAUCGUGCCAAAACGGCGUGGACUUGGAACUGACCUCCAGGCGCGAUGUCAUUAUUUAACUCGAGAAGUCACAGCUUCUGCAUCCUACUAUUCUGCCAAUAUUCACAAGCCAAGAGGCUCAACUUAACACCCUGGUAGAAAAAGAGAAGCCUUUAAUAUUGCUUGAACAGGGAAGGAGAGGGAAUAAUGGAACUAACCUUGCUGGGAGGGGAAAAAAAAAACAACUGAACACUGAAUGAAGCCUAUGAAGCAAUGAAUGGAGUGCUUUUUGGAAAGUACUUCCAGAUCUUUUGAAAAGCAGCACAAAAUUAAAUAUUAUUUGCAAACGAGUUAAUGAAUAGGAAAAUAUUUUGUAAAGUAUUAUGCAUUAUAUAAUGUAAUACGAUAUUGCUAUUCCAGA
Molecule: long non-coding RNA, 666 nt
Organism: Macaca mulatta (Rhesus monkey)
Lineage: Eukaryota; Metazoa; Chordata; Mammalia; Primates; Cercopithecidae
Source: RefSeq, a predicted model, not a curated record